UCUCCCUGUUGCACAUUGCCUUGUCUGUGAAGGGCACAAAGGGAUCAAUUUUAAUAUAUAUAAAUAUAUAUAUAUAUAUAUAUAUUUAUAUAUAUUAAAAUUGAUCCCUUUGUGCCCUUCACAGACAAGGCAAUGUGCAACAG
Non-coding RNA from Heterocephalus glaber (naked mole-rat), 143 nucleotides. NCBI's taxonomy places the organism in Eukaryota, Metazoa, Chordata, Mammalia, Rodentia, Bathyergidae. The record is from Rfam.